UGACCCUUAUUAAGCCGAGGGUCACCUAGCCAACUGACGUUGUUAGUGAACCUACUAAUUUGUUCACAUUCAUAUAUAGCCAAUCAUAUUGUUGUGAUUGGCUUUUUUUCU
Molecule: non-coding RNA, 111 nt
Organism: Vibrio panuliri
Lineage: Bacteria; Pseudomonadati; Pseudomonadota; Gammaproteobacteria; Vibrionales; Vibrionaceae
Source: Rfam